UUGGAGGGCAAGUCUGGUGCCAGCAGCCGCGGUAAUUCCAGCUCCAAUAGCGUAUAUUAAAGUUGUUGCAGUUAAAAAGCUCGUAGUUGAAUUUCGGGGUCAGUAGGUCGGUCGUGCCACUGGUAUGAACUGGUUUCACUGAUUCCUCCCUCUUGUAGAACCGUGAUGCCAUUAAUUUGGUGUUGCGGGGAAACAGGACUGUUACUUUGAAAAAAUUAGAGUGUUUAAAGCAAGCUAACGCUUGAAUACAUUAGCAUGGAAUAAUGAAAUAGGACGUCUGUCUUAUUUUGUUGGUUUCUAGGAUGGACGUAAUGAUUAAUAGGGAUAGUUGGGGGCAUUAGUAUUCAAUUGUCAGAGGUGAAAUUCUUGGAUUUAUUGAAGACUAACUACUGCGAAAGCAUUUGCCAAGGAUGUUUUCAUUAAUCAAGAACGAAAGUUAGGGGAUCGAAGACGAUCAGAUACCGUCGUAGUCUUAACCAUAAACUAUGCCGACUAGGGAUCGGAUGAUGUUAAUUUUUUUAAUGUACUCAUUCGGCGCCUAGGGAAAC
RNAcentral lists this ribosomal RNA (548 nucleotides) under uncultured Glomeraceae. RNAcentral's name for it is "SSU rRNA". It matches the Rfam family "Eukaryotic small subunit ribosomal RNA", at positions 548 to 1098 of the family's 1831-position model. The record is from RNAcentral. Lineage: Eukaryota; Fungi; Glomeromycota; Glomeromycetes; Glomerales; Glomeraceae.